GACGAACGCUGGCGGCGUGCCUAAUACAUGCAAGUCGAACGGAGUGGCGCACGGGUGAGUAAUAUAUAGCUAAUCUGCCCCUUGCUGGAGGACAACAGUUAGAAAUGACUGCUAAUACUCCAUAGCAAGGGAUGAGACUAUAUCGUAUCAGCUAGUCGGUGGGGUAACGGCCUACCGAGGCUAUGACCCGUAACAGUUCUGAGAGGAUGAUCAGUCACAUGGGAAGUGAGACACGGUCCAAACUCCUACGGGAGUCAGCAGUAGGGCAUAUUGCGCAUGGGGCGAAAAUCUAACGAAGCAACGCCGUGUGGAGGAUUACACUUUUCGGAGCGGAAACUCUUUUUGUUAGGGAAGCGGUACCUAACGAAUAAGCACCGGCUAACUCCGUGCCAGCAGCCGCGGUAAUAC
This 408-nucleotide ribosomal RNA is filed under the name uncultured bacterium. RNAcentral's name for it is "partial 16S ribosomal RNA". It matches the Rfam family "Bacterial small subunit ribosomal RNA", at positions 28 to 526 of the family's 1533-position model. The record is from RNAcentral.